UAUCUCUCCUAUACCAACGUUUGUUGGAAUCUAUAGGGACUUGGGGUCUUCUCGUCGAACAUUACUUCUCGUAAUACUCGGCGAACCCUUUAAAUGUAGUAAGCUCCCAUCUAUUUCAUUAUCGGAAAUACGUAAACUUGGGGAUGGCGUCGUAGCAAUCACUUUAUUGUAUUGUCGAAGCGCCUAUACAUACCUCUAAUCUACGGUGCUAAUCCUUUAUUAGCUUGGGCGAAGCUUAACGACUGGCAAAGUGCCAUGCUCCAUUUAUUUACGGAGUACACGAACAA
Molecule: unclassified non-coding RNA, 287 nt
Filed under: uncultured Ramicandelaber
Lineage: Eukaryota; Fungi; Kickxellomycota; Kickxellomycetes; Kickxellales; Kickxellaceae
Description: sequence contains ITS2
Source: RNAcentral